This 166-nucleotide non-coding RNA is filed under the name uncultured Fusobacterium sp. RNAcentral describes it as "Lysine riboswitch". It matches the Rfam family "Lysine riboswitch aptamer". Rfam says of the family: Riboswitches are metabolite binding domains within certain messenger RNAs that serve as precision sensors for their corresponding targets. Allosteric rearrangement of mRNA structure is mediated by ligand binding, and this results in modulation of gene expression. The record is from RNAcentral. Lineage: Bacteria; Fusobacteriati; Fusobacteriota; Fusobacteriia; Fusobacteriales; Fusobacteriaceae.
GAUGAUAGAGGCGCAAAAAACAUUAGUAAAAAUAGGGAACUUAGCGAGUGUAGAUCUAUUUUGAAAGGGAAUUUUGCCGAAAUAAAAAGAGUGCUAAAUCUUUUUGUUGGUAGUAUGGAAAAUAUUUAUACUACUGUCAUUGAAUUUUCAAUGGAGUGCUAUCUGU